CAGUAGCCGCGGUAAUACGAAGGGGGCUAGCGUUGUUCGGAAUUACUGGGCGUAAAGCGCACGUAGGCGGAUAUUUAAGUCAGGGGUGAAAUCCCGCAGCUCAACUGCGGAACUGCCUUUGAUACUGGGUAUCUUGAGUAUGGAAGAGGUUAGUGGAAUUGCGAGUGUAGAGGUGAAAUUCGUAGAUAUUCGCAGGAACACUAGUGGCGAAGGCGGCUAACUGGUCCAUAACUGACGCUGAGGUGCGAAAGCGUGGGGAGCAAACAGGAUUAGAUACCCGCGUAGUCCCUGUCUCUUAUAC
Molecule: ribosomal RNA, 301 nt
Filed under: uncultured bacterium
Lineage: Bacteria
Description: partial 16S ribosomal RNA
Rfam family: Bacterial small subunit ribosomal RNA
Source: RNAcentral